Long non-coding RNA from Saccostrea cuccullata (small rock oyster), 863 nucleotides. RefSeq lists it as uncharacterized. The transcript has 4 exons. NCBI's taxonomy places the organism in Eukaryota, Metazoa, Mollusca, Bivalvia, Ostreida, Ostreidae. The record is from RefSeq and is a predicted model, not a curated record.
UCUUUCUUAGGCAGUUUAAUGUACUUACAAUGUAAAUUUCUAGUUUUAAUUACACAGGUUUCUGCUAACCAGAAAAAGCUUUAAAGACUAUUUCAGCUAACAGUCUUUCUGCCAGCAGCAGAAUCUCUAAUGAAAGAACUGCCAGUAAAAGAAAAGACUCCACAGUGAAGGAUCCAACGAAAGACAGACUUCUGGAAAUUGAAGAGGAGAAGUUGGUGAUAAUGAAGGAACACCUUAAGAUUGAGAGAAGAAAAGUGGACAUCUUGGAAGAUUACGUUAACUGGAGAAAGAAGAUGUACACAGAGGGCAUGGAGAAUACAUGUACACCAACUGUAUCUCCAAUAAUCAGAGGGCUUUUCACCUCAUAGGCUCAAGUGAGCUUUUCUGAUCACUUAUUCUCAGUCCGUCUGUUGAUUUAUGUAAUGGAUCACUGUCUAGUUAGGAUAGUGUGCCAAGGCAUCAACAAUAGUUGGAAACGUGGGAUAAUUUCAUGCAUAAACUGUAAUUGAUGUCCCUGACAUACUAUCCUAACUAGACAGUGAUCCCAUAUAUUUUCAUAUCAUUGUGAAAUAGAAUUUUACAUUCAUAUUUUAAAAAUUUCAAUUACACAAGGCCUCCCAUGUCAUUUUCAAUAGCCCUCACCCUCUGACUUCAAACACAAAGUCGUACAAGAUUUGUAAGCUCCUUAGCCCCUGACCUAUUAAUUUGCCUGGUAAUACACAUUCUGGUAGAAUUGUCAGGAGAUCAACUCCACUAAUUUUCAAAGAGUCAUGAUAUUUUUUCUGUAAGCUUAUGCACUUAUACAUAAAUCAAAGUUUUGCACUGAUACAGGACUCAAAGUUAUACAUUUUAUUGAUAAAUUG